RNAcentral lists this ribosomal RNA (384 nucleotides) under Thliptodon sp. USNM IZ 1450180. RNAcentral's name for it is "SSU rRNA". It matches the Rfam family "Eukaryotic small subunit ribosomal RNA", at positions 51 to 414 of the family's 1831-position model. Lineage: Eukaryota; Metazoa; Mollusca; Gastropoda; Pteropoda; Clionidae. The record is from RNAcentral.
AUGCAUGUCUAAGUUCACACUUUAUUACGGUGAAACCGCGAAUGGCUCAUUAAAUCAGUCGAGGUUCCUUAGAUGACACGAUCCUACUUGGAUAACUGUGGCAAUUCUAGAGCUAAUACAUGCUUAUGAUGCUCCGACCCUCGGGAAAGAGCGCUUUUAUUAGUUCAAAACCAAUCGUUGGUUCGCUUGCAAGAGCGGCCGGCGUCCCUAUUGGUGACUCUGGAUAACUUUGUGCUGAUCGCAUGGCCUUGUGCUGGCGACGCAUCUUUCAAAUGUCUGCCCUAUCAAAUGUCGAUGGUACGUGAUAUGCCUACCAUGUUUGUAACGGGUAACGGGGAAUCAGGGUUCGAUUCCGGAGAGGGAGCAUGAGAAACGGCUACCACA